GUUUUCCAUUCCUGUCCAUCUGUCCCAGUCUCUCUGUGUCUCUCCCUGAUAGGCUUGCUCUAUCUGUCUCAUACUCUGUGUGUGUGUGUGUGUGUGUGUGUGUGUGUGUGUGUGUGUGUGUGUGUGUGUGUCUGCUUUUUCUUCAGGGUUACUAACACGGGGGUGGGGGUGGAGUAACUCGUAAAAAGACUUAAGGAGUCCCGGACAUAUUAAGUUUUGUUUUCCCUGGUCUUCCCUGGGCCUGGGCUCGCUAUGGGAACCUCCCAGAGCGGCUCCUCUCGGGAAGAGUCCAGGAUGUACCCAGAAGGUCCUUUUGUUUUCCUUAGUCUGGGUCUGAAGGAUAGGUGGUGUAGCUACGACAUCCGUGGCUAGGACCCCGACUAGAAGUUGCAAGGUGGGAUGGAGGAUUCAGCCCCCUUUCUUGGUUUAAAAGCCUUUCUGGGAAGCCGGGACUCUAAAUCUCACAUACGGAUCGAUCCCCGAUGCACAUGCAUCUAUAUGUUGAAGUUUUGCCCGGCUGCAGCGUUUGUUCUCAGGAAUUUAUUAUGGCAUUCAGACUAAACUGCUGGAAAAAUAAAAGGAGCAAAGUCUUGGCUAGGGGCUGAAGUGUCCCCAGCAGGAUAUGACGCCAGGAGUGUUGUAAAGACUGUCUGUCCUUAGAGAAGGUACCAUUGUGCAUAGCCUUUUAUUUAUAACUUGCACUCUCGGGUUCACAUGCCACCAACGGAUAAAGGCCAACCCAUCUCCACCCAGAAGUCCCGACGGAUCUUGAGAGCACUGAGCGGACACAGCAGCUAGAACAUUUCUAAAGCUCCAUGGCGAAGACCAAGGUAGUGAUGUUGGCUGAGGAUCUCCUGACAGUGGCACCCACCCUGACAAACCAAAGCAGGCAAACCAGAUUUGGAAGAAGCCCACACAGGCCAUGAGCUUCCCGACGAACAAACAGUGUUAGCUACUGGGCUACUGGUGAAGGUGCGGAUUAAACCCGCGGAGCAGCACAGCCACUACAGCAUCAGCGGCGGGUCAUUUCGCAUCCCAACUCCACAGUCACUUGUCAAAAGCGUUGGUGCCGCUCUUCUCUCCAUCAAAAUCUCAGGCAGGGUGAUCUUGGAUUUAGGAUCAAGAAGCGGAUCUGGGCACCUCAUUGAAAUGUCUGGGUGAGCCACAGCGGGUUUGUCCCUGUCAUGCCCCUGUAGCAGAGGGUCCUUAGGGGACUGCGAGAGGAAAGCAAUAAAGAACAUAUGGUUUGUGGGAAAGAAAGAGUAAAGGAAAAGGAAAAAGAGAGGAAGAGAAAAUUUUAAAAACAAAAUUGAAAGCCAACAGAACAAGCAGAAACUAUAUCUGUCUAGUCUUACAGAAGUUCAUUUUCAAGAUUUAUCUUUAUGUAAACACGGAUGGUGAUCUGCCACAGCCUGAGGAAUCUUGCAAAAUAAUGAUAACGAUAGUGAUGAUGAUGAUGAUGAUGAUGAUGAUGAUGAUAAUAAUAAUAAUAAUAAUAAUAAUAAAAUUAAUCCUCUCUGCACGCGUUGAUGGGAGUAAACUGAGGAGGAGAACUUGAUCCAAUUCCAUGACUGUGCGUGUAGGUCUGGAUCUGGUGUGUCUGUGGUUAGGGGGUAAGGAGAAAGGGCUUUCCUUAGCCUGCGGACUGACUGACUGGUACCCGGAGCAGCCCAAGCCGCCUUUGUGCAGAGGCAACCAGAGAGGUUGAGUCCGGGCAAGAGUAGUCAGAAGGAGUGAGCCAGAGAAGCAAGGUCGACAAACGUUCUAAGGACUGCUGACUGGAACAAAAAGGCGAGAGUGGGAGCAGAAUUACUUUGAAUUCCGAGCUUGGGAACGGGAGAAUCACGAGCGUAACUCUGAACAGAUGAAAACUGACCAUCUUGGACAAUGAAACGAAGAAGCAGCCAGAGAGACGCCAGAAUUUAGCGCGUGCAACUGCAGCGCAAGCGCCGCCGGCAAGGCCCUCUCAAAGUCAUCUUGCAGAUAGCUGUCCUGGGUCCGCGUGGUGGCAACUCAUUAAAGUCACUGUGGAAGGUUUGCCCCUUCUUGAGACAGAGAAAAAAAAAAGCUUCACGAUGGGGUAUUCCAAUUCCCAGCAUAGAGCCAAGAGUCAAGACAAGUAGCCCCAAGAGGAAUGCGAGUCAGAGAGCCUUUCUUCUUUCUUCUUUUCUUUGCCAAACGAAAUCUAAUACUAUCUGGCUGCAAAAAUAUAUAUCACCGGCUCUGAGUCUGAAAGAUUAACAUUCGGAUACGUAGGAAAUGUAAUCUGCAUGGCUAAUUGAUUCUCAGCGUAUCAGUUUAAAGGAUAAAGAUCGAUAUCUGCAUAUGAUGGAUAUUGUAUUAAUAGGGACAUAAAUAAAGGCCGAAGAGUCGUUACCGAAA
This is a non-coding RNA of Cricetulus griseus (Chinese hamster), 2382 nucleotides long. Lineage: Eukaryota; Metazoa; Chordata; Mammalia; Rodentia; Cricetidae. The record is from RefSeq and is a predicted model, not a curated record.